GAGUUGGCAGCUCAGAACUUCCCACUAGAAACACUCCAAAUAAGGUUUUGGAGAAUUUAGUGUUUCUAGUGGGAAGUUCUGAGCUGCCAACUC
This 93-nucleotide microRNA precursor is filed under the name Podarcis lilfordi (Lilford's wall lizard). The record is from RNAcentral. Lineage: Eukaryota; Metazoa; Chordata; Lepidosauria; Squamata; Lacertidae.